GUCGCCUCCUAAAAGGUAACGGAGGCGCUCAAAGGUUCCCUCAGAAUGGUUGGAAAUCAUUCAUAGAGUGUAAAGGCAUAAGGGAGCUUGACUGCGAGACCUACAAGUCGAGCAGGGUCGAAAGACGGACUUAGUGAUCCGGUGGUUCCGCAUGGAAGGGCCAUCGCUCAACGGAUAAAAGCUACCCCGGGGAUAACAGGCUUAUCUCCCCCAAGAGUUCACAUCGACGGGGAGGUUUGGCACCUCGAUGUCGGCUCAUCGCAUCCUGGGGCUGUAGUCGGUCCCAAGGGUUGGGCUGUUCGCCCAUUAAAGCGGUACGCGAGCUGGGUUCAGAACGUCGUGAGACAGUUCGGUCCCUAUCCGUCGUGGGCGUAGGAAAUUUGAGAGGAGCUGUCCUUAGUACGAGAGGACCGGGAUGGACAUACCUCUGGUGUACCAGUUGUCGUGCCAACGGCAUAGCUGGGUAGCUAUGUGUGGACGGGAUAAGUGCUGAAAGCAUCUAAGCAUGAAGCCCCCCUCAAGAUGAGAUU
This 530-nucleotide ribosomal RNA is filed under the name Staphylococcus aureus. RNAcentral's name for it is "partial 23S ribosomal RNA". It matches the Rfam family "Bacterial large subunit ribosomal RNA", at positions 2282 to 2811 of the family's 2925-position model. Lineage: Bacteria; Bacillati; Bacillota; Bacilli; Caryophanales; Staphylococcaceae. The record is from RNAcentral.